AAUCAACGCUGGCGGCGUGCCUCAGACAUGCAAGUCGAACGAUUAAAGCUCUCUUCGGAGAGUGUAUAGAGUGGCGCACGGGUGAGUAACACGUAAGUAAUCUACCUUCGAGUGGGAAUAACAGUCGGAAACGACUGCUAAUACCGCAUAAUGCAGCGGCAUCGCAAGAUGACAGUUGUUAAAGGAGCAAUUCGCUUGAAGAGGAGCUGCGGCAGAUUAGCUAGUUGGUAAGGUAAUGGCUUACCAAGGCUACGAUCUGUAUCCGGUCUAAGAGGACGGUCGGACACACUGACACUGAAUAACGGGUCAGACUCCUACGGGAGGCAGCAGUCGGGAAUUUUGGGCAAUGGGCGAAAGCCUGACCCAGCAACGCCGCGUGAAGGAUGAAGUAUUUCGGUAUGUAAACUUCGAAAGAAUAGGAAGAAUAAUGACGGUACUAUUUAUAAGGUCCGGCUAACUACGUGCCAGCCGCCGCAGUAAC
This 481-nucleotide ribosomal RNA is filed under the name uncultured bacterium. RNAcentral describes it as "bacterial SSU rRNA". It matches the Rfam family "Bacterial small subunit ribosomal RNA", at positions 32 to 524 of the family's 1533-position model. The record is from RNAcentral.